RNAcentral lists this long non-coding RNA (1426 nucleotides) under Anser brachyrhynchus (Pink-footed goose). RNAcentral's name for it is "lncRNA (ENSABRG00000007426.1)". Lineage: Eukaryota; Metazoa; Chordata; Aves; Anseriformes; Anatidae. The record is from RNAcentral.
CUCUGAUACCUCUAUGCACGUUAUUAUCCGGAUACUGCAAAGGUGAAUUUGCAGCUUCCCAGUGGUACUGCAGUAUCUUUCCACAAUAUAUUGUCUGAAGUAGCACAGAGAUAAUUUGUCUUCACAAAAUUACUUAAUCUCAUGUUUCCUCUACCUAGGAAGAGGUAAACCUACUGGGUUUAAGAGUGCCAAAGGGCUUUGUGUUUGCUCUUUACUCUAUUGCUACUGCUGUGGAUUUUCAAUCACCUUCAUCCCAUGUUCAGAAAUAGGAGAUUGUUCACAUAAGACAUCAGAAGCACCUUUUUUUUUUCUUUUUUUCUUUUCCCUGUGAAAUGAAAGAUGCAAAGCUGUCAGCAAAUUCAACAUGAACUUCACUACAAGAGUGCAGACUCGCAGACUCUUGCCACAGCCCAGAGAGCAUGAGCAGAGGACAAGAGAGGACAGGAAGGAGAGGACCUGGAGGAAAACCCAGAACAAACACAGAAGAAACACGUACCGAAAGUGUCUGGUGUCCCAGCGAAACGUACCGUGAGAAUGCCGUGCCUGGCUACGUGCAGAGGAAGAGUGUCACCGAGCCAGGAGCCAAGAGGGGGGUGCAGCAUCUGGUGGCAGCAGAAGGAUGUGCCUGUGAGCACCGUGCUUUGAAGCACGGGGCCUCUGCUAAAUGUCUUCCUCCUGGCACCACAGCUCCCCCUCUGCAGUGGGACCCCAUAUGCCGAGCACAGCUAGUGAGGGAGUAAUAAAUCAGGGCGACCAGCUGCGGCUGCCGGGAAAGGUCAGGCAGCAGGAGCAAAGCUGGGGGACAAUGAUGCGAGUGCGGGGUGGGAUGCAAGGAAGGAGCCUGAGGCAGGAGUCAGCUCCCAGCCGUGAGAGACUCAUGCAAGAAGCAUGAAAGGUAGCGACCUCUUCAAAGGGAGAAGACGGGUUAAAAAACGACGGUGCCCUCGUUUGGUGUAAAGUGCUCGAGAAGAUGAGGUGCAAUACUUCGGGUUUCAGUCUGCGAGCUGAACAACCCCUCCUCACUCUCUGUGUCCUGGAGAAGACAAGUCUGACGAAGGACUCAUGCAAGAGGCAAACGAAAUGCUCAUCUCCAUUCUUGUUAGUUGCUGAGAGAUUUAUAUGUGCAGGAAAGUGGGGGCUCAAGUUAGCAGCUAACAGCAGCUCUGCUUCUGUUUUGUGGUGGAAAAAAUGGGUCCAAUUCUUCCCCUCUCUCCUCCUGUUCACCCUCAUCACACCACAUCUGGCCCAAGGAGAACUCUGCAGCUGCUGCCACUCGGUCCUAGCAAACCUAGGAAGGGAGAAGGAGCUCCCUGGGGCAAGGCCCACCAGCACCCUGUCAGGGUGGCAAAGGGAGCUGUGCAUUCCCUAGGGCACCGGUGCGCUCAGGUAAAGCUGGAGGAAUAAAAGGGAUUGGCGUGGUGCUGCA